AUACGUAGGGGGCGAGCGUUGUCCGGAAUGACUGGGCGUAAAGGGCGUGUAGGCGGUUGAAUAAGUCUGGAGUGAAAGUCCCGGUUUCAAGUUGGGAACUGCUUUGGAUACUGUUCAACUUGAGUGCGGAAGAGGUAAGUGGAAUUCCCAGUGUAGCGGUGAAAUGCGUAGAGAUUGGGAGGAACACCAGUGGCGAAGGCGACUUACUGGGCCGUAACUGACGCUGAGGCGCGAAAGCGUGGGGAGCGAACAGGAUUAGAUACCCUGGUAGUCCACGCGGUAAACGAUGAAUGCUAGGUGUUGCGGGUAUCGACCCCUGCAGUGCCGGAGUAAACACAAUAAGCAUUCCGCCUGGGGAGUACGGCCGCAAGGUUGAAACUCAAAGGAAUUGACGGGG
Molecule: ribosomal RNA, 397 nt
Filed under: uncultured bacterium
Lineage: Bacteria
Description: partial 16S ribosomal RNA
Rfam family: Bacterial small subunit ribosomal RNA
Source: RNAcentral